GACGAGCCUCACAAACGUUAUUCGGAAUUACUGGGCUUAAAGGGUGCGUCGGCGGCGCGGAAAGUUGGGUGUGAAAUCCCUCGGCUCAACCGAGGAAUUGCGCUCAAAACUACCGUGCUCGAGGGAGAUAGAGGAAUGCGGAACUUACGGUGGAGCGGUGAAAUGCGUUGAUAUCGUAGGGAACACCGGUGGCGAAAGCGGCAUUCUGGAUCUCAUCUGACGCUGAUGCACGAAAGCUAGGGUAGCAAACGGG
RNAcentral lists this ribosomal RNA (253 nucleotides) under uncultured bacterium. RNAcentral's name for it is "partial 16S ribosomal RNA". It matches the Rfam family "Bacterial small subunit ribosomal RNA", at positions 524 to 776 of the family's 1533-position model. The record is from RNAcentral.